GCAGAGAUGAUGUAACAGGAAAACAUACCUGACUUAGAAUCAGGUUUCUGUGGGUUCGAAUCCCACUCUCUGUA
Molecule: transfer RNA, 74 nt
Filed under: Winogradskyella sp. SYSU M77433
Lineage: Bacteria; Pseudomonadati; Bacteroidota; Flavobacteriia; Flavobacteriales; Flavobacteriaceae
Also listed under: 1 other name
Description: tRNA-Leu
Rfam family: tRNA
About the family: Transfer RNA (tRNA) molecules are approximately 80 nucleotides in length. Their secondary structure includes four short double-helical elements and three loops (D, anti-codon, and T loops).
Source: RNAcentral